RNAcentral lists this ribosomal RNA (301 nucleotides) under uncultured bacterium. RNAcentral's name for it is "partial 16S ribosomal RNA". It matches the Rfam family "Bacterial small subunit ribosomal RNA", at positions 509 to 807 of the family's 1533-position model. The record is from RNAcentral.
CAGCCGCCGCGGUAAAACGGAGGGCGCGAGCGUUACCCGGAUUUACUGGGCGUAAAGGGCGUGUAGGCGGCCUGGGGCGUCCCAUGUGAAAGGCCACGGCUCAACCGUGGAGGAGCGUGGGAUACGCUCAGGCUAGAGGGUGGGAGAGGGUGGUGGAAUUCCCGGAGUAGCGGUGAAAUGCGCAGAUACCGGGAGGAACGCCGAUGGUGAAGGCAGCCACCUGGUCCACUUCUGACGCUGAGGCGCGAAAGCGUGGGGAGCAAACCGGAUUAGAUACCCGCGUAGUCCCUGUCUCUUAUAC